Molecule: transfer RNA, 75 nt
Filed under: Carboxylicivirga sp. M1479
Lineage: Bacteria; Pseudomonadati; Bacteroidota; Bacteroidia; Marinilabiliales; Marinilabiliaceae
Description: tRNA-Arg
Rfam family: tRNA
About the family: Transfer RNA (tRNA) molecules are approximately 80 nucleotides in length. Their secondary structure includes four short double-helical elements and three loops (D, anti-codon, and T loops). Further hydrogen bonds mediate the characteristic L-shaped molecular structure. tRNAs have two regions of fundamental functional importance: the anti-codon, which is responsible for specific mRNA codon recognition, and the 3' end, to which the tRNAs corresponding amino acid is attached (by aminoacyl-tRNA synthetases). tRNAs cope with the degeneracy of the genetic code in two manners: having more than one tRNA (with a specific anti-codon) for a particular amino acid; and 'wobble' base-pairing, i.e. permitting non-standard base-pairing at the 3rd anti-codon position.
Source: RNAcentral
GGCCCCGUAGUUCAACGGAUAGAAUGUAGGAUUCCGGUUCCUAUGAUGUGGGUUCGAUUCCCGCCGGGGUCACAA